This 233-nucleotide long non-coding RNA is filed under the name Rattus norvegicus (Norway rat). RNAcentral describes it as "long non-coding RNA NONRATT002640". The record is from RNAcentral. Lineage: Eukaryota; Metazoa; Chordata; Mammalia; Rodentia; Muridae.
GGCAUUGGCGGUUGGUGUGCAUCAUGGCAACCGUGGCAGCCACUACUAAAGUCCCUGAGAUCCGAGAUGUGACAAGAAUCGAGCGAAUCGGUGCUCACUCCCACAUCCGGGGCCUGGGACUGGAUGAUGCCCUGGAGCCAAGACAGGUAGAGCCUUGGGGCUGGGCGUGUGGGCUAUUGCUGCCUGGCAGGUCUUCAGGCCUCUUGAUUCUGUACUACAGCACCUCUGCUUCA